Molecule: small RNA, 3110 nt
Filed under: Pan troglodytes (chimpanzee)
Lineage: Eukaryota; Metazoa; Chordata; Mammalia; Primates; Hominidae
Description: retained intron
Source: RNAcentral
AGGGGAAUUCGGGGCAGAAGUCGGGCCGGAGCAUCCGGGCGGCCGUGGCGCGAUGGCGCAGGAUCGGCGCUUUGAGAACUGAGCGCAUGUGGAGUUCCGAGGAAAAGGGCGCAGAUUGAAGAUGGAAAAUCCCCAAGACAUUUUCUCAAGUAAUGGUGGCUGUCUAAGUGAUAUAGUUAUAGAAAAAUACCUGGUUGAAUCCAAGGAGUCUGUGUCUCAUGUUCAGCUUGCUUGCAGCAUGCAGGACUGUGCUUUCCCUUUGGAUGGAACUGAACUUUGUAUAUGGAACACUAAGGAUCCUUCUCGUCAGCUUCUAAUCCUACGAGGACACCAUCAGCCAAUUACUGCUAUGGCUUUUGGAAAUAAAGUGAACCCACUUCUAAUCUGCUCAGCAUCACUGGAUUAUGUUAUAAUGUGGAACCUGGAUGAAUGUAGAGAGAAAGUACUUCAAGGUAAAUGAAAAUCUAAAACAUGUUUUUAAAAACCUGCAAAAGGAAUAACUCAUCCUUCAGUAUACUUGGUACCACCCAAGGGGUGUUUCCCUUGGGUAACAGCAGUCCCUCGGGGGGUUUGGGAUAAUUUUGUACUCUCUUUACCUUGAACCCAGGCAUGCAAGCAGGCGCUUUAUAUGGGAAGGGCCCCAGGCCAUUCAGACUUACGGACCUUUGCUGUCUGUUAUGCUGAUCUUAUAGGCUCAUUGGUUUUGAUCUUAUGUCCCUUUUUAUUUUAAGAACUGUCCAUUUUGUAUCAACCUGAAAACAUGUAGGAAAGUGGAAAUAUUCUUUCCUUGCACAGCAAGGGGUCUUGAGCACCUGUAAUAUUUCAGGCUGGAGACACAGUGGUGAAUAGGAAGGGCUUGGUCCCAAAUCCUCUGGAAGUCACAGCUCAGAGUUUGAGAGAGACACUGUAAGCCAGCGACUGAGUGGCUGUGAAUUGUGAGUGUGCAGAGGAGAAGGCAGAUGAGGCCAGGGCAGCGUGCACGUGCAUGGGAGCACUUUGAGAAGCAGGAUCUCGGAGGGGCACGUGCGCUGAGGGUGAGGGUGAGAAGGGAUGAAUGUGCCAAGGCCCUGGGAAGAGUGAGAACCUGCCUGUGUGCUUGGAGCGUGCUGAUGUCAGGAGAGCCUCAUCUGAGGAAGUCGAAAAGUUAGGUGGGGACCACGUUAAGGAAUUUGAGUUUUGUGCAAUUAUAUAGAGAAGUUAGAGGAUUACAUUAAAACAUAAAUGCAAAGAGACUAUAAAUCUAUGUAUUCUAUGUAGGGACAUGAGUACGUGUCCCUCUCUAGACUGGGUGGCUGUGGGACAUGAACAUGUGUGUCUCUCUAGGCUCCGGGUGCCUGUGGGACAUGAGCACGUGUCUCUGUCUAGACUUGGUGGCUGUGGGACAUGAGCACAUGUGUCUCUCACAGGCUCUGGGUGGAGUAUAUCUGCAUUUUGCUGGUGAUAGGUCCAUGGUACACACUAGGACCAGAUGACCUUGCCCGCCAUUUUUUCCUUCACCUGUGUGGAUUUGCAUGACGGGCUCUGCAUCAGGCUGCAGCUGCUGCACAUGUUGUCCGGGUCUUGGGAACCUCCUGGCUGCUUGUGGGUGUCCUGACAUUGCUUAGUCCCUGGAGGCCUGGGUUGGAUAGGCCCCUACUCCUUUCCUUCCAAUCAAUGUUAGCUGAACCUAGACAUGAGGGUGGACAUGGGGUUGGAUGUGGGUGAGAAGCAUCGAAACAUGCAGUUUGAUGUGCAUGAUUCUCACUGCACGGGUACUGCAGCCUCCAGAGAAAGGCAUCUUCGUGUUUCGAUGCUGAGAGAGUCUCUGCAGGGAAGUGCUGCAUUCCCCAGGUUUUCAGAAGACUUCUGUAUAUCCAGUAUUUUUGAUAUUCUUAAAGAAUCAAAAUCACAUCAAAGCUCAUUGUCAUUCUCUCAGUAAUUUUAGAAUAGAGGGUUACAUUCUCAGUACUUUUCUCAGAUUAAUGUAAUGCUGAAUGCAUUUGGUAAACUGGCACUAAUGGUGAAACUCACUCUAGGGCUGGUCCCUCGAGGGACUGUCAUGGGCUCGCUUUUGGGAAAGGUGCUGUGUUUACAGUUGAGCCUGGAUGAUCGUGUUGUUGCCGUGUGUGCUGGAAACAAAAUAUUCAUGCUGGAUAUUGAGGUAAGAUUGAAAUUCACGUGGAUUUCACGGAAGGGUUUAGCUGAUGGGGCCUCCCAGGUUCUGGGACCUUGCCCAGCGGUCUUUUCUUUUCUUCUGUACGCCUUUUUUUUAAAGCUAUAUCUUCAAUUUAGUUUACUUUUAUAAAAUCACAUCUUUAUCUUGCAAUUGGAAAACCACUGGUAUCAGAUAGCAAUAUUUAUAUAAAUAUUAAAACUCUUUAUGGAAUCUGGGUGUCAGGUAUGACUUUAGAGAAACAUGUUCUGCAAAACUUUUAUUUCUCAGAUAUUCCCUGAUUGUAGGCAUCCUUCCUAGCAUAGCGCUUUUGUUUAUAUCUUUUAUCAAAAUGUUCUUUUCAUCAAGAAUCAGACUUUUCGCACCAGGGUUAGUUUAAGGAAAUGUGUCACCUCUUCCUGCCUGUGUGAUUUCGACCUCGUGUGUGACUAGAACAGUCAGCUGCCCCAUUGCAAUGUUAGAAAGCCUGAUUUUGUAGGUGACCCCAGGCCUGGGGUCGUUUUGUCAACAUGGCUCACAAAGCUGUUGGCCUGAAUAGCUUUUCUUUUGAUAGCCACUUAAUAAACGUAGGCGAGGAAGGAUGUUCGGCAUGGAAUGUGAAUUGGUUCUCAUGGGCCUCAUGUGUAAUAGGCGUUUUGGGAGAGAAGACAUUUAUGUCUUCAGACUAUUUUUGGACUAAUUAUGAAAUUAAGGCUCAUAAAUUUAAAAAGUUCACAUCAUGAGUUAAGCCACAGAGAGAUGAUGGGAAGUAUCUAAGAGUUAGGUAAAGGGCUUCACACUAUUUCUAGUCUGUCUGUGAAAGCUUUCUGGAUAUGUUGGUGUUUGAGCUGUAAGUAUUUCAUGUUUUGUUGUAAACAUCCUGUGAUAGAUUAACAUUAGGCCACCCCACCAUUUAUAACAAAACUACCAUUAGUGUGCAAAGAAUUAACAUUGUUGUGUCAGGAAAAGGAAAACCAAA